This 502-nucleotide small RNA is filed under the name Pan troglodytes (chimpanzee). RNAcentral's name for it is "processed transcript". Lineage: Eukaryota; Metazoa; Chordata; Mammalia; Primates; Hominidae. The record is from RNAcentral.
UUCACUGCCAUAUUCCUAGGGACAAGUAAAGUUCCCUGUAUAUUGUAGGAGCUAAGUGUUGAAUGAAUGAAUGGUGGCUGCUAUUAUUGCUUCACCUUCACCCUCCAAGAGUAAUCUCCCCAUUCUGGUUUAUAGUUUCUGUGCUCACUGCUUGUGAUAAUCGUGUCUCAGGGGAGCUUUGUGCCUUGAUGGAUCAAGUUCAUCAUAUGCAGCACUCAAAAUGGCAGCAUCCUUCGGACCUCACCACGCGAAACUACGCCCGCCGACAGAAACAUCUGCAAAGAUACAGUCUGACUCAGUGGGUUGACAGGAACAUGCGAAGCCACCAUCGGUUCCAGCGUCUCCCAGACUUCUCGUACAGUUAAUUUGUGUCAUCCCAUCAGCAGUGAAGGUCCCUAUCCAGGGUCCUGCUUGGAGCAGCAUUUCAUGUUCUUUUGCUGUUUUGUGCUUUUGCCGAUUUUGGAUUUUAUUUUUCACAAGAUUUUUAUUUAAAAAACUGGUC